RNAcentral lists this ribosomal RNA (442 nucleotides) under uncultured bacterium. RNAcentral describes it as "partial 16S ribosomal RNA". It matches the Rfam family "Bacterial small subunit ribosomal RNA", at positions 338 to 795 of the family's 1533-position model. The record is from RNAcentral.
CCUACGGGAGGCAGCAGUGGGGAAUAUUGGGCAAUGGACGCAAGUCUGACCCAGCAACGCCGCGUGAAGGAAGAAGGCUUUCGGGUUGUAAACUUCUGUUAAGGGGGAAGAGCAGAAGACGGUACCCCUUGAAUAAGCCACGGCUAACUACGUGACAGCAGCCGCGGUAAUACGUAGGUGGCAAGCGUGGUCCGGAUUUACUGGGUGUAAAGGGCGUGCAGCCGGAGAGACAAGUCAGUUGUGAAAUCCACGGGCUCAACCCGUGAACUGCAUUUGAAACUGUUUCCCUGGAGUGUCGGAGAGGUAAGCGGAAUUCCUUGUGUAGCGGUGAAAUGCGUAGAUAUAAGGAAGAACACCAGUGGCGAAGGCGAAUUACUGGACGAUAACUGACGGUGAGGCGCGAAAGCGUGGGGAGCAAACAGGAUUAGAUACCCCUGUAGUC